CCUACGGGUGGCUGCAGUGGGGAAUAUUGGGCAAUGGGCGCAAGCCUGACCCAGCCACGCCGCGUGAAGGAAGAGGGCUCUCGGGUUGUAAACUUCUUUUCUCAGGGACGAAGAAAGUGACGGUACCUGAGGAAUAAGCCACGGCUAACUACGUGCCAGCAGCCGCGGUAAUACGGAGGGGGCAAGCGUUAUCCGGAUUUAUUGGGUGUAAGGGGCGUGUAGGCGGGAGCGCAAGUCAGAUGUGAAAACUCAGGGCUCAACCCUGGGCCUGCAGUUGAAACUGGGAUUCUUGAGUGCUGGAGAGGCAAUCGGAAUGCCGGGUGUAGCGGUGAAAUGCGUAGAUAUACGGAGGAACACCAGUGGCGAAGGCGGAUUGCUGGACAGUAACUGACGCUGAGGCGCGAAAGCGUGGGUAGCAAACAGGAUUAGAUACCCUUGUAGUC
This 443-nucleotide ribosomal RNA is filed under the name uncultured bacterium. Its description in RNAcentral is "partial 16S ribosomal RNA". It matches the Rfam family "Bacterial small subunit ribosomal RNA", at positions 338 to 795 of the family's 1533-position model. The record is from RNAcentral.